AACCCUGAUGCAGCUAUACCGUGUGUGUGAAGAAGGCCUUAGGGUUGUAAAGCACUUUCAAUGGGGAAGAAUUUAAUAUUGCUAAUAUCGAUAUUAGUUGACGUUACCUAUAUAAGAAGCACCGGCUAACUCCGUGCCAGCAGCCGCGGUAAUACGGAGGGUGCAAGCGUUAAUCGGAAUUACUGGGCGUAAAGAGUACGUAGGUGGUUCGUUAAGUCAGAUGUGAAAUCCCUGAGCUUAACUUAGGAACUGCAUUUGAAACUAAUAAACUAGAGUUUCGUAGAGGGGGGUAGAAUUCCAGGUGUAGCGGUGAAAUGCGUAGAGAUCUGGAGGAAUACCAGUGGCGAAGGCGACCCCCUGGACGGAAACUGACACUCAGGUACGAAAGCAUGGGGAGCAAACAGGAUUAGAUACCCUGGUAGUCCAUGCCGUAAACGAUGUCGAUUUGAA
This 450-nucleotide ribosomal RNA is filed under the name Blochmannia endosymbiont of Camponotus textor. RNAcentral describes it as "bacterial SSU rRNA". It matches the Rfam family "Bacterial small subunit ribosomal RNA", at positions 379 to 821 of the family's 1533-position model. The record is from RNAcentral. Lineage: Bacteria; Pseudomonadati; Pseudomonadota; Gammaproteobacteria; Enterobacterales; Enterobacteriaceae.